RNAcentral lists this ribosomal RNA (914 nucleotides) under Exorista xanthaspis. Its description in RNAcentral is "partial 16S rRNA". The record is from RNAcentral. Lineage: Eukaryota; Metazoa; Arthropoda; Insecta; Diptera; Tachinidae.
UAAAAUUAUUUUUAAUAAUAUAUUAGAAAUGAAAUGUUAUUCGUUUUUAAAGGUAUCUAGUUCUUUAAGAAAUAAAUUUAAUUUAGAAAUUUUAUAUUAUUUAAUUUAAUAUAUUAAUUAAAUAAUUAUUGAAUUUUAGUAUUUUAUGGGAUAAGCUGUAAAAUAAAAUUUUAUAAAUUUGUGAAUAAAUUAAUAAAUAUAAGCUUAAAAAUAGUUAUUAUUAAUAAAAAUGUUAUAAUUUAUUUUUAUUUUCAUAUUAAUUAUUUAUAUUUUAAAUUUUUAUUAAAGUAUUUAUUUUAAUUAAAAAAAUGAAAAAAUAAUGAUAAAAUUAGUAUAUUUUAUUGUAAUUAUAAAUAAAAAUGAUAAGUUUUUUUAAAGAACUCGGCAAAAAUAAUAUUCGCCUGUUUAACAAAAACAUGUCUUUAUGAAUUUUAUUUAAAGUCUAACCUGCCCACUGAAUAAAAUUUAAAUGGCCGCAGUAUAUUGACUGUGCAAAGGUAGCAUAAUCAUUAGUCUUUUAAUUGAAGGCUGGAAUGAAUGGUUGGACGAAAUAUUAACUGUUUCAUAAAAAUUUUUAUUAGAAUUUUAUUUUUUAGUCAAAAAGCUAAAAUUUAUUUAAAAGACGAGAAGACCCUAUAAAUCUUUAUAUUUAAAUUAUUGUAAUUUUUUAGGAAAAUUUUAUUAUAAUAAUUAAUAAUAUUUUAUUGGGGUGAUAUUAAAAUUUAAUAAACUUUUAAUUAAUUUUUAUCAUUAAUUUAUGAAUAAAUGAUCCGUUAUUAACGAUUAUAAAAAUAAGUUACUUUAGGGAUAACAGCGUAAUUUUUUUGGAGAGUUCAUAUCGAUAAAAAAGAUUGCGACCUCGAUGUUGGAUUAAGAUAUAAUUUUAGGUGUAGUCGCUUAAAGUUUAAGUCUGU